AGUCUGCCUCCCUCGGCGGGCCGGGUCUCCAGGGAGGACCUGAUUUUUCUUCACCCAUAGUUAGGGAGGCGCAAUCGCCCUGGCUUUGGGGCUGGGGCCUCCGGGGAGGUUCCGGUAGGGGCGUUGGAGAGGCCGCUCUUUUUGCAAGGCCCGAGACGGCGGGCCCUGCGCAGGCCGCCCUAUUCCGCGCCCUCAGGGCGUCAGUAUCCGCCUGAGGCCGGAUACCCCAGCUGGGCCCGGAUGCCGUCGAUGGGCCCGGAGCAUCCUCGGCGCUGCCCUCCCAGAGCCCCGCAGAGGCUGAGGUGGCGCGGGGGGCGGGCCCGGCUCCGCGAGAAGCAGCGGCAGCGAGGGCUGGAGGACCCGGGCUACGGGGCUCUGGGGCGUCUGGCCUGGGUGGGACUGAGCCCAUUCGGGGGGACUCCGGGGUUCUGGUGUAGGUAGAUCCGGGGCAGGCUCAGGACCAAGUCCCUCUCCUUCCACCAAGGAGCGCCCAGAGGCCGGCGGGAGCUCCAGGUUCACCUCCUCCUCCUCCAGGGUUAUUUCAAGUCCCAAAAAGCAAGGAUGAACAUCUAGAACGAGAAGAAAAACAAUCUGGAGGAAAUCCCACUUCCAACUGGAUGUCUGGAUGAACUACUGAAAGCUGCUGAGUGUCCUGCAGCAGGUGAGCUGUGGCCAGAGCCCAAGGAUGAAGGGGGCUCCCUCACUCUGUUACUGUGAAGAGGAAGCCUGAGGUGUAGCAGGCCCAGGCCCCAGAAGUAUGGAAAAAAAUGAGGUAGGGAGGGAGGGGACCUCAGGAGAAGACUGAGGUCUACAGAAUCCCAGGGUCAAGGGGAUGGUGCAGUGUUCUGGCACUAUCCUUGAUGUUCCAAGAGGGGUGAGAAUCCAUCUCCUGAGUAAAAACUUCACAUGGGGUGAGGAGGGGAGAAGAGAACAGAAAGGAAGCAGGGAAGGCCAAGACAGCCACCAGCCUUACAGCAAUUUUAACCAGAAAUGGACACAGACCCUGGACCCCAUCACAGGAGUGCAGGCCUAGGACUGUCUCCAGGUGAUGCAUAGCUCCCUUGUCAGGUUAGUGGGUUCAGGGAUUGUGACGUCUGCAGGGGUGUGGAAGGCUGGGCAAUGGGAGCAGCUUACUGGGCUGGACCAGAAAUACUGAACUUCUUUUCCAUCAGUGAAAUCCACUUCUGGGUCAGAAAAAACUGUGAGUUCUAGAGGGGCAGGGCCUAGGAGGAGGUCAGGUCCUGAGCCUUCCUGGUUUGACCCCCUCCCACCCCCUGUGUUUCUGGGUCUGUCCUCACUUCCACCCAGCGGAUCCUGAGUCUCUUCCUUUGAGUCCCUGUGAGUGUGUUGUGUGCAGUGGGGCCGGGCUGCUUCAUCCACUGCACGUUAAAUGUUUCCAACACUUUCCGGCCAAAGCUUAGAGUUGUCAGACCACCGACUUUGAAUGUUGACCUGGUUCCUUGUGGAACAGAGUAAUAGCUAUUGAAGUUUAAAGUCACUUUCCUGCGUGGAUGGUGAAGAGGCAGGCUGUUCAGGCAUAACUGCCCUCAGGCCUGGAGGGCUGUGGAGGUCACCGUUGGCGGUGGGUGGAUCUGGAACCUCUGUGGCUCUAGACUUUCAACUAUUUCAUUUUUUCUUUUGUAGUUUUUGUUUGUUGCUUGCUUUUUUACAAUGGGAACUAGAAUGUAAGAUGCCAAACUCAGCCUGUGGGGAACAUGGAUUUUCACAACAGCAACCACAGAGCGUGGUUUCCAUUUCUAUUCCCUGUUCAUGUGGGAGGCAGAGAAGGAAAUCAGGUGCUCAGUUCCAGGGACAUCACAGGACUAGGACAUGUGCAGUGAGGGUGGAAGGCAGAGGCAUUGCUUUAGGAGAAUAAAAUUACUGCAUGCACACACAUAUGUAUGUAUAUGGAUGUAUGUACACAAACAUGCAUAUUUAUAGAUUCUGUUCUCUCUCUCUAUAUACAAUUUUCUUUAUUUCACACUUGAUAUGAUUUCUAAAUUUAAAUACCUUUGAGACAAACGUGAAUUGUGAUGGGAUUUAAAAAUGUCAGUGAAAAAUGGAAUUAACAAUAAAAAUAUAAAUAUAAACUUUAUUUCUCAAUUUAAGCUCUACUGAGGUCCAGACACUCCAUUAAGCGAUGAUCCCAGCCAUUCAUUCCAUUGCUAAAGAACUGAGGGUAAUGGGAAUUUAACCGUGUCAAUGCAGUCUUCUAUUAUUAACUAAAGAAAAAUGGGUGCCCUUUACAGUUAUUUUAAGAUUAGGGAAAAAAUGUCAGAAGAAACCAAAUCAGGACUGUAAUGUUGAUGCCUAAUAAUUUCCCAUGAAAACUCUUGCAAAAUUACCCAUGUUUGAUGAGAGGAAGGAACAGAAGUGUUGUUGUGGUGCAGAGGGACUCUCUAGUGAAGCUUUACAGGGCGCUUUUCUGCAAAAGUAUUUGCUAAUUUUCUCUAAGAACUCUCCUAGUAAGCAGAUGUUAUGGUGCUUUGAUCUUACAGAAAGUCAACCAGCAAAAUGCCUUGAGCAUCCCCAAAACCUCCAUGGCUUUUGCUUUUGAGAAGUUUGCUUUUGCUUUGACUGGACCACUUCUACCUCUUGGUAGCCAUUGCUUGAAUUGUGCUUUGUCUUCAGGAUCUUAUUGAUAAAGCCAGUUUCACUCCCUGUUAUAAUUCUUCAAAAUAAUGCUUCAGGAUCUGAUUCCGCUUGCUCAAAAUAGUUACUAAUAGCUCUGCUUUUGUCCACUGCUGAUCUAGGCACAAGGGUAUUUGGGACUCAUCAAAUGUAAAAUUUCUCAACUUUCACGUUAUAGUCAGUAUUGUGUAAGCUGAACCAAUUGAGAUGCCUGUGGUGUUGGCUAUAGUAUCUCUUGCUAAUUGUCAAUCCUCCUCAAUUAGGGCAUAGAAACGAUUUUUUUUCUCAAAAAUUGGUAUGGAUGUCCCUCCUCUGUUGACUUCAUCUUCAACAUUGUAUUAUCUCUUCUUAGAAUAAGGUAUCCAUUUGUAAAUGACUGAUUCUUCAGGUUAUUUUUCCCGUACACUUUUCAUAAAGAAUAAUUUAUUUCACCAUUUUUUGUACCCCAGCUUCACCGUAAAUUUGAUGUUUGUUCUUGCUUCAGGUUUGACAGAAUUCAUGUUGCUGCCAUAGAGGGGCUCUUUUCAAACUGAUGUCUUAAAUCUUGUUCAGAUAUGUUAAAACAGGGCCAGGCACGGUGGCUUACGCCUGUAAUCCCUGCAUUUUGGAAUUUU
RNAcentral lists this long non-coding RNA (3245 nucleotides) under Homo sapiens (human). RNAcentral describes it as "non-protein coding lnc-ZNF705E-1:7". The record is from RNAcentral. Lineage: Eukaryota; Metazoa; Chordata; Mammalia; Primates; Hominidae.